Molecule: ribosomal RNA, 755 nt
Filed under: uncultured bacterium
Lineage: Bacteria
Description: bacterial SSU rRNA
Rfam family: Bacterial small subunit ribosomal RNA
Source: RNAcentral
ACGGCAGCACGGGAGCAAUCCUGGUGGCGAGUGGCGAACGGGUGAGUAAUGUAUCGGAACGUACCUUUCAGUGGGGGAUAACGUAGCGAAAGUUACGCUAAUACCGCAUAUUCUGUGAGCAGGAAAGCAGGGGAUCGCAAGACCUUGCGCUGAUUGAGCGGCCGAUAUCAGAUUAGCUAGUUGGUGAGGUAAAGGCUCACCAAGGCGACGAUCUGUAGCGGGUCUGAGAGGAUGAUCCGCCACACUGGAACUGAGACACGGUCCAGACUCCUACGGGAGGCAGCAGUGGGGAAUUUUGGACAAUGGGGGCAACCCUGAUCCAGCCAUGCCGCGUGAGUGAAGAAGGCCUUCGGGUUGUAAAGCUCUUUCAGCCGGGAAGAAAUCACAUGGGUUAAUACCCUGUGUGGAUGACGGUACCGGAAUAAGAAGCACCGGCUAACUACGUGCCAGCAGCCGCGGUAAUACGUAGGGUGCGAGCGUUAAUCGGAAUUACUGGGCGUAAAGCGUGCGCAGGCGGUUUGUUAAGAUAGGCGUGAAAUCCCCGGGCUCAACCUGGGAACUGCGUUUAUGACUGGCAGGCUAGAGUAUGGCAGAGGGGGGUGGAAUUCCACGUGUAGCAGUGAAAUGCGUAGAGAUGUGGAGGAACACCGAUGGCGAAGGCAGCCCCCUGGGCCAAUACUGACGCUCAUGCACGAAAGCGUGGGUAGCAAACAGGAUUAGAUACCCUGGUAGUCCACGCCCUAAACGAUGUCAAC